Molecule: ribosomal RNA, 431 nt
Filed under: uncultured bacterium
Lineage: Bacteria
Description: bacterial SSU rRNA
Rfam family: Bacterial small subunit ribosomal RNA
Source: RNAcentral
UCGAGGAUCUUCGGCAAUGGGCGCAAGCCUGACCGAGCGACGCCGCGUGUGCGAUGAAGGCCUUCGGGUUGUAAAGCACUGUCGAGGGGGAGAAAAGGGCAACCUUGAUCGACCCCUGGAGGAAGCACGGGCUAAGUUCGUGCCAGCAGCCGCGGUAAGACGAACCGUGCGAACGUUAUUCGGAAUCACUGGGCUUAAAGGGCGCGUAGGCGGGCGGUCAAGUCAGAGGUGAAAUCCCACGGCUCAACCGUGGAAGUGCCCCUGAUACUGGCCGUCUCGAGGGAGGUAGGGGCGUGCGGAACUUCCGGUGGAGCGGUGAAAUGCGUAGAUAUCGGAAGGAACACCGGUGGCGAAAGCGGCGCGCUGGACCUCUACUGACGCUGAGGCGCGAAAGCCAGGGGAGCAAACGGGAUUAGAUACCCCCGUAGUCC